UUUACGGGAAAACCCCAUCUUUGUUGAUCUCAUGGACUUGUCGGAGAUCUAUCUCCUUAUCCAAGAAGUUAAAAGUUUAUUCAUCCUUUUGACCACACUUUCGAGACUCCUCAAUCAUGCGAUUUCCACCCUCCCAAGACCCUCAAACCCAAAUCUUGUAUCAACAAACACUAACCCAUCCUAUUCUGUUUUUCUCCCUGCAGGGGAGGAGACAUUAAUGAACGAGCAAUAUUCCCCUUAUUGGUGGCCUCAAUCACUAUUUCCUCACUUGUCUUGAACACCUGUAUUACGUAUUGAAUAAUCAUCAACAAUCAGUCCUUAAACAAAUUAAGGGCGGCAGCAGCCAAAAAGCAAGGGUGUUCCAACAUGAUUAAUUACGGGCGAUCAAGGCGGUACUAAGAUACCGCUAGUGUGACAAGUUUGUUCAGAGAAUGGAAAACAUUGAGCCAUUUUUAUAAAUGUUUUUAAAACCACAACAUUAUCAAACCUUGCUGGUUCAUAAAAACCAAGCAAAUAUUGACAUGUACCGUCACCAAUCAGUUCAAUCCUCUAAAUAAUAAUAUAGUAAAUUUAUUGUUGGUUACAUCUUCUCUGAUUGUGUGAUCCAAUAAGAGUAAAUUUUUUUUUAUCAACCCGUUAAUAAUUUGGAACUACCAAAAUAUAUCAAAUGAAGAUAGAGAAAUUAAAUCCUAAACUUUAGGGACCAAAACUACAAUUAGACCUGCCAUGAAGCCUUAGUAGAGGAAAUUGGUUUUCAUUUUUCACUAAUCUAACUACAGAUUACCAUCAACAAACUCAAGUAAUGAGGGCCAGCUUGCUUUUGUUGACAAAUGGAUCCAAGCCCAUAUUUUCGAUUCCAAUUCAGUACUGAAAAACCACUUCUCGUAGAUAGCGGAGUUUGGCAAGACUUCCAAGUUGCCAGGGUACAGCUUAGGCCUUAGAGAAGAGAAACAACUAUUUCCGGCGGAUUUACACCUCCAUCUACGGCAGCGCUAGCGGUAGGGGAUCAUGUGCUGGUGGGCUGUUUUGGCAACUCUUGACCCUGGGAAUGGAUCACGUCGGAGAUGGCUAUCACGUUGUUUUAGAACAAUGCCCUUCAACCGCUAAUAUCAUAUGAAAAUGGAGAAUUAGAAAGGAGGAAGAUGAUGAGAGAAGGGGGAGAGGGAGGGAGAAAAUAUAAUAUUGAAUAAUAA
RNAcentral lists this long non-coding RNA (1193 nucleotides) under Gossypium raimondii (Peruvian cotton). RNAcentral describes it as "long non-coding RNA (GRAI_LNC005182)". The record is from RNAcentral. Lineage: Eukaryota; Viridiplantae; Streptophyta; Magnoliopsida; Malvales; Malvaceae.